UACGGAGGGGGCUAGCGUUGUUCGGAAUUACUGGGCGUAAAGCGCGCGUAGGCGGCUUUGUAAGUUAGAGGUGAAAGCCCGGGGCUCAACUCCGGAAUUGCCUUUAAGACUGCAUCGCUAGAACGUCGGAGAGGUAUGUGGAAUUCCGAGUGUAGAGGUGAAAUUCGUAGAUAUUCGGAAGAACACCAGUGGCGAAGGCGACAUACUGGACGACUGUUGACGCUGAGGUGCGAAAGCGUGGGGAGCAAACAGG
RNAcentral lists this ribosomal RNA (253 nucleotides) under uncultured bacterium. Its description in RNAcentral is "partial 16S ribosomal RNA". It matches the Rfam family "Bacterial small subunit ribosomal RNA", at positions 524 to 776 of the family's 1533-position model. The record is from RNAcentral.